UACGUGGAGGCGGGACGGCCGACUGACAGGCGGCCAAAGGCUGCUGUGCGCUGGGCUGGCGGGGACGCUCAGCCUCAGCCUCACCGCGCCCCUGGAGCUCGCCACCGUGCUGGCCCAGGUUGGCGUCGUGCGAGGCCACGCCCGGGGACCGUGGGCCACAGGGCACCGGGUGUGGCGGGCAGAGGGGCUCCGGGCCCUGUGGAAGGGGAACGCGGUGGCGUGCCUGCGCCUCUUCCCUUGCAGCGCGGUGCAGCUCGCCGCCUACCGCAAGUGCUCUCCCGUUCUCUGCUGGCUCCCUUCUUGUUUACAUGAACCUGGAGAAAAUCUGGAACGGACCCCGAGAUCAGUUCUCUCUCCCACAGAACUUUGCUAAUGUCUGUCUGGCUGCUGCAGUGACCCAGACCCUCUCCUUUCCCUUUGAGACCAUGAAGAGAAAGAUGCAGGCUCAGAGCCCCUACCUCCCACACAAUGGAGGAGUAGAUGUCCAUUUCUCAGGAGCAGUGGACUGCUUCCGGCAGAUAGUGAAGGCCCAGGGGGUCCUGGGGCUCUGGAAUGGAUUGACAGCCAAUUUACUGAAGAUAGUUCCAUAUUUUGGAAUUAUGUUUAGCACCUUUGAGUUCUGCAAGAGAAUCUGUCUUUAUCAAAAUGGUUACAUUCUGUCUCCACUGAGCUAUAAAUUGACCCCAGGAGUCGAUCAGAGUUUGCAGCCCCAGGAAUUACGAGAAUUAAAGAAGUUCUUCAAAACGAGAAAACUGAAGCCUAAAAAACCAACUCUAUAAAAUGGAAUGGAACUAGAAGUGCACUGACUGACAGCGUGUUGCAAUCACAGAUAAAUGUAGCCUCAUAAUUGUGUACCUGAGGAGGGAUGAGAAGCUACUGCUAUCUGCUGCUCUGGG
This 896-nucleotide small RNA is filed under the name Pongo abelii (Sumatran orangutan). RNAcentral's name for it is "processed transcript". The record is from RNAcentral. Lineage: Eukaryota; Metazoa; Chordata; Mammalia; Primates; Hominidae.